This is a long non-coding RNA of Salvia miltiorrhiza (redroot sage), 344 nucleotides long. RefSeq lists it as uncharacterized. The transcript has 2 exons. Lineage: Eukaryota; Viridiplantae; Streptophyta; Magnoliopsida; Lamiales; Lamiaceae. The record is from RefSeq and is a predicted model, not a curated record.
UUUAGUUUUCAAUUAUUAUCUAUUAAAUUUUGAAAACCCGGCGUGAUGAAUCAUAGUAGUUAAGUGCACCCACUAAGACUUUAAGAUUAGAUUCAUGAGACCUAUUAAGAUUAUAGAUUUCUUGUAGGCUUUGUGGAUCGUGAGGAUUAGCACUGCUAUACCGAUUCAGAGUUAAGAUUAAACGACAGGCAUUGCCUAAUCAGGUUGAUUGGUCGGUGCUGACGGGGCAGAGCUGAGGCUAGGGUUCAACUCCGUAUUUUGUCUUCCGCUGUUGCAUUAGCUCUUAUUUGUCUUAUGUUUCUCUAUCUUAAAAACUUCUAUGUUAAAUUCUGAAUUAUGUUUCU